UGUAGAGUGCCACUGCUGCCUCCUCACCACAGUAUCAGCAGGAUGAAUCUCUGGUGCCUCUGGCAGCUCCCAAGCCCUUGUCAGCAGUACCAGACCAUGUGGGUACCUGAGAAGUGUUAGCAACUCCCAGUGAAACGCCCAGUGGAUUCUUGCUGCCAUCCUGAGUAGGGUCAGAUCAAGCUGGUGACACGGGAUCAGACUCUUCAGCUGCCUUCUGCUCCCUGUAAAACCCGUUCUGACCCACAUGGGAGACAGGUAGCCAUUAAGUGGAGGCCUUACACUGUUAAUUAGUUCUGCUGAUAAACAGAAGACUUUAGUUUGAAGGAACAGCAUCAACAGACCUUGUGACUUGAAUUACCUUGCUUUACACAGCAGCAUGAACAGCCUGGUAGGUAUAAUCC
Molecule: non-coding RNA, 401 nt
Organism: Cyanistes caeruleus (blue tit)
Lineage: Eukaryota; Metazoa; Chordata; Aves; Passeriformes; Paridae
Source: RefSeq, a predicted model, not a curated record